UAGACACAAGCCAUCUAUUAAAAUAGAAAACAAAAAAAAAAUGAUGCGCUGGAAAUGGCCGGGAUAGCUCAGUUGGUAGAGCAGAGGACUGAAAAUC
Molecule: transfer RNA, 97 nt
Filed under: Begonia herbacea
Lineage: Eukaryota; Viridiplantae; Streptophyta; Magnoliopsida; Cucurbitales; Begoniaceae
Description: partial tRNA-Phe
Rfam family: tRNA (bases 58-97)
Source: RNAcentral